GCUCUUCCAACCCCUCAGCUAGAAAUUCACUUUGGAACCCACCUGGUACUCGUGUACGCAGAUUUUGGAAGAUUUUCGGAAUGGUAUCCGAAAUCUUUUUAUGGUAUUCCAGAAGGAGGCCAAACUCUUCUAGAGUUGGCGGCUGUUCAGGGGGACGUUGCUCGGGGGCGGCUCUUCCCUCCGUAUCUGAUGAUACGCUGAGGUACUGCGGCCCACUACCUGAGUCUGGUCCCGAAUCAACUCGUCGCCGUCUUGAUGACGGAACCGCGUAUUCGACCGGAUCCUGAGCAGAAGGCCCAACUUUC
This 305-nucleotide long non-coding RNA is filed under the name Aquilegia coerulea. Its description in RNAcentral is "long non-coding RNA (ACOE_LNC000933)". The record is from RNAcentral. Lineage: Eukaryota; Viridiplantae; Streptophyta; Magnoliopsida; Ranunculales; Ranunculaceae.